UCGUCAGCUCGUGUCGUGAGAUGUUGGGUUAAGUCCCGCAACGAGCGCAACCCUUGUUAUUAGUUGCCAGCAUUAAGUUGGGCACUCUAAUGAGACUGCCGGUGACAAACCGGAGGAAGGUGGGGAUGACGUCAAGUCAUCAUGCCCCUUAUGACCUGGGCUACACACGUGCUACAAUGGGCAGUACAACGAGAAGCAAGCCUGCGAAGGCAAGCGAAUCUCUGAAAGCUGUUCUCAGUUCGGACUGCAGUCUGCAACUCGACUGCACGAAGCUGGAAUCGCUAGUAAUCGCGGAUCAGCACGCCGCGGUGAAUACGUUCCCGGGCCUUGUACACACCGCCCGUCACCCCAUGGGAGUCUGCAAUGCCCAAAGCCGGUGGCCUAACCUUCGGGAAGGAGCCGUCUAAGGCAGGGCAGAUGACUGGGGUGAAGUCGUAACAAGGUAACCGUA
Molecule: ribosomal RNA, 451 nt
Filed under: uncultured bacterium
Lineage: Bacteria
Description: bacterial SSU rRNA
Rfam family: Bacterial small subunit ribosomal RNA
Source: RNAcentral